This 444-nucleotide ribosomal RNA is filed under the name uncultured bacterium. RNAcentral describes it as "partial 16S ribosomal RNA". It matches the Rfam family "Bacterial small subunit ribosomal RNA", at positions 354 to 796 of the family's 1533-position model. The record is from RNAcentral.
GUAGGGAAUAUUGGGCAAUGGUCGGAAGACUGACCCAGCCAUGCCGCGUGCAGGAAGACGGCCCUCUGGGUUGUAAACUGCUUUUAUCUGGGAAGAAAAAGGCCAUGCGUGGCAAAUUGCCGGUACCAGAUGAAUAAGCACCGGCUAACUCCGUGCCAGCAGCCGCGGUAAUACGGAGGGUGCGAGCGUUGUCCGGAUUUAUUGGGUUUAAAGGGUGCGUAGGCGGCUGAUUAAGUCAGCGGUGAAAGACUUCGGCUUAACCGGAGCAGUGCCGUUGAUACUGGUUGGCUUGAGUGUCGGAGGGGUACAUGGAAUUGAUGGUGUAGCGGUGAAAUGCAUAGAUACCAUCAGGAACACCGAUAGCGAAGGCAUUGUACUGGCCGACAACUGACGCUGAUGCACGAGAGUGUGGGGAUCGAACAGGAUUAGAAACCCCUGUAGUCC